Molecule: long non-coding RNA, 1091 nt
Filed under: Coffea arabica (coffee)
Lineage: Eukaryota; Viridiplantae; Streptophyta; Magnoliopsida; Gentianales; Rubiaceae
Description: long non-coding RNA (CARA_LNC004123)
Source: RNAcentral
GAUUUAGCCUUGUUUGAGUUGAAUCACAAAAACUAAACCGAUUAAACCUUCACUUUGGUGCUUAGAAAACUUGGUGUGAUAGAAAUCUUGGGAGCUAGUAGUUGGUUCUUUACUUUCAAAAGGCUUUUGGAAGGUAUAAAGCUAACACUUUCUUUCUUCUUGCUUAAUCUUGCUAAGUUUGGUAUAGAAACUUUUAGUCUUGGCUUACUAUAGUUGAUUGUUUAGUUUUUAAUGGUGUAACAGAAUGUUUAGAUAGGGUUUUUAUUUUUCAGUUUUGAUUAUUGUUGUAUACCUAGUAAAUGAUGUUAUUAAACUAGGAUAUGGAAUUGAUUAAGUGAUUAAUGGCUUGAUGUUACUUUUUUGAGUUAAAAGUAACAACCCUUAAAAAUACGAUUUUCUUGAUUUUUCAAACCAAAUGCGACUUCCAAAGUAUAAAUCACUUUUUUAUCAAAACUAAAAAAGCGAGUAUGAAUUUUCUAGAGUUUGAUAAGUCAUAUGCUUACUAUUUAAACAAGUUUCAUUUACUUGAUUUUCUUGAAACGAAACUCCUAUGUUUCGAACCCUAGUAGAUUUUAAACUCUUAAAUGAUAUUUUAUCGCAAAUUUAGAUUCCAAUCAAAGAGUUGUACCUGAGCGUGAUUUUGACAAGCACUAAAUCUUUAGUGAGUGCGUCCAAAUAUAUAAUUGAAUUUGAUACUUGAUUUAAAUUAUUUACCAACGUGAUCGGAUAAGAUUUGCGUGGUUUGGUCGAGUAAGGGUGUACUUUAUCGCACUUGCCCUAAUGUAAGAUAUGCUUGUUUAUUUGUUGCAAUUGACUUGAUAUACUUGUGUCUGAUGUGCGCACUCUCUGGAAUUUCAGAAACUCUGUGGCUAGUUACUCGAGUCGAGUCGGCAAGAGUUUGGUCGAUUGGGUAAUGAACCCUGGGUCUCUUAUUUUGUCGAAUGGAGUGUUAUCUUCUCGAAUAAUUGGUAUGCUCGAAUAUUACCAGUCGUGUUUAUUGAGGAUUUUGGACCCAGUAGGGGGUUUGAAUAGUGGACGGAGAUUGUAAUUAAGUGGUGCUCUACGGAACUGGGUACUUGACUUGAAAGUUG